RNAcentral lists this ribosomal RNA (460 nucleotides) under uncultured bacterium. RNAcentral's name for it is "partial 16S ribosomal RNA". It matches the Rfam family "Bacterial small subunit ribosomal RNA", at positions 338 to 795 of the family's 1533-position model. The record is from RNAcentral.
CCUACGGGUGACAGCAGUGAGGAAUAUUGGUCAAUGGACGAGAGUCUGAACCAGCCAAGUAGCGUGAAGGAUGACUGCCCUAUGGGUUGUAAACUUCUUUUAUAUGGGAAUAAAACAGGGUAUGCAUACCCUCUUGUAUGUACCAUCAGAAAAAGGACCGGCUAAUUCCGUGCCAGCAGCCGCGGUAAUACGGAAGGUCCGGGCGUUAUCCGGAUUUAUUGGGGUUAAAGGGAGCGUAGGCCGGCAUUUAAGUCAGCUGUGAAAGUCCGCGGCUCAACCGUGGAAUUGCAGUUGAAACUGGAGGCCUUGAGUGAACACAGGGAUGCCGGAAUUCAUGGUGUAGCGGUGAAAUGCUUAGAUAUCAUGAAGAACUCCGAUCGCGAAGGCAAGUGUCCGGGGUGCAACUGACGCUGAGGCUCGAAAGUGCGGGUAUCAAACAGGAUUAGAUACCCUUGUAGUC